Toxocara canis (dog roundworm) is the source of this 72-nucleotide transfer RNA. It matches the Rfam family "tRNA". From Rfam's summary of the family: Transfer RNA (tRNA) molecules are approximately 80 nucleotides in length. Their secondary structure includes four short double-helical elements and three loops (D, anti-codon, and T loops). Further hydrogen bonds mediate the characteristic L-shaped molecular structure. tRNAs have two regions of fundamental functional importance: the anti-codon, which is responsible for specific mRNA codon recognition, and the 3' end, to which the tRNAs corresponding amino acid is attached (by aminoacyl-tRNA synthetases). tRNAs cope with the degeneracy of the genetic code in two manners: having more than one tRNA (with a specific anti-codon) for a particular amino acid; and 'wobble' base-pairing, i.e. permitting non-standard base-pairing at the 3rd anti-codon position. The record is from Rfam. NCBI's taxonomy places the organism in Eukaryota, Metazoa, Nematoda, Chromadorea, Rhabditida, Toxocaridae.
GGGGCAGUCGUUCAAUGAUAGAGCUCCCGCUCCGUGUGCGGGAAGACCGGGGUUCGAUUCCCGGCUGCUUUC